Molecule: ribosomal RNA, 254 nt
Filed under: uncultured bacterium
Lineage: Bacteria
Description: partial 16S ribosomal RNA
Rfam family: Bacterial small subunit ribosomal RNA
Source: RNAcentral
GACGUAGGGCGCGAGCGUUUGUCCGGAUUUAUUGGGCGUAAAGAGCUCGUAGGCGGCUUGUCGCGUCGACUGUGAAAACCCGCGGCUUAACUGCGGGACUGCAGUCGAUACGGGCAGGCUAGAGUUCGGUAGGGGAGACUGGAAUUCCUGGUGUAGCGGUGAAAUGCGCAGAUAUCAGGAGGAACACCGGUGGCGAAGGCGGGUCUCUGGGCCGAUACUGACGCUGAGGAGCGAAAGCGUGGGGAGCGAACAGG